AGGAUUUUAGUUAAAAUUAUAACAAUUAUAUUGCAUAUAAAUAUUAAAGUUUUCUUUAAAUCUUA
RNAcentral lists this transfer RNA (65 nucleotides) under Anterhynchium abdominale. Its description in RNAcentral is "tRNA-Ala". Lineage: Eukaryota; Metazoa; Arthropoda; Insecta; Hymenoptera; Vespidae. The record is from RNAcentral.